This 510-nucleotide ribosomal RNA is filed under the name uncultured bacterium. RNAcentral describes it as "bacterial SSU rRNA". It matches the Rfam family "Bacterial small subunit ribosomal RNA", at positions 777 to 1285 of the family's 1533-position model. The record is from RNAcentral.
AAUAGAUACCCGGGUAGUCCAUGCCGUAAACGAUGAAUGCUAGGUGUAGGGGUGUCAAAGCUCUGUGCCGCAGUUAACACAAUAAGCAUUCCGCCUGGGGAGUACGGCCGCAAGGUUGAAACUCAAAGGAAUUGACGGGGGGCCCGCACAAGCAGUGGAGCAUGUGGUUUAAUUCGAAGCAACGCGAAGAACCUUACCAGUACUUGACAUCCUACUAAGGGAAAGAGAUUUUCCUGUGCCUGCUUGCAGGAAAGUAGAGACAGGUGGUGCAUGGUUGUCGUCAGCUCGUGUCGUGAGAUGUUGGGUUAAGUCCCGCAACGAGCGCAACCCCGUAUUAAUAGUUGCCAGCAGUAAGAUGGGCACUCUAUUGAAACUGCCGUGGAUAACACGGAGGAAGGCGGGGAUGACGUCAAAUCAUCAUGCCCCUUAUGUUCUGGGCUACACACGUGCUACAAUGGGUGAUACAGAGAGAAGCGAGAUAGUGAUAUGGAGCAAAACUCAUAAAGUCAU